AGUGAACGCUGGCGGUAGGCCUAACACAUGCAAGUCGAACGGCAGCACAGUAAGAGCUUGCUCUUACGGGUGGCGAGUGGCGGACGGGUGAGGAAUACAUCGGAAUCUACUUUUUCGUGGGGGAUAACGUAGGGAAACUUACGCUAAUACCGCAUACGACCUACGGGUGAAAGCAGGGGAUCUUCGGACCUUGCGCGAUUGAAUGAGCCGAUGUCGGAUUAGCUAGUUGGCGGGGUAAGGGCCCACCAAGGCGACGAUCCGUAGCUGGUCUGAGAGGAUGAUCAGCCACACUGGAACUGAGACACGGUCCAGACUACUACGGGAGGCAGCAGUGGGGAAUAUUGGACAAUGGGCGCAAGCCUGAUCCAGCCAUACCGCGUGGGUGAAGAAGGCCUUCGGGUUGUAAAGCCCUUUUGUUGGGAAAGAAAAGCAGCAGGUUAAGACCCCGCUGUUCUGACGGUACCCAAAGAAUAAGCACCGGCUAACUUCGUG
RNAcentral lists this ribosomal RNA (492 nucleotides) under uncultured bacterium. Its description in RNAcentral is "partial 16S ribosomal RNA". It matches the Rfam family "Bacterial small subunit ribosomal RNA", at positions 29 to 507 of the family's 1533-position model. The record is from RNAcentral.